This 15372-nucleotide long non-coding RNA is filed under the name Gallus gallus (chicken). The record is from RNAcentral. Lineage: Eukaryota; Metazoa; Chordata; Aves; Galliformes; Phasianidae.
CUUGUCUGUGACAAAUGAGUUUUGUCUCGGUUCCAUGGUAGGAAUAUUCAUGAUAUUGCUAUCUGUCGUGUUGAAGUAACAGAAGCAUUGGAAGUGCUUGUUUGCAGUCACUCGUGCCUUGCUUCUGUUUAUGGAUUUCUUCACCCUUCAGAUUUCAGCUGCCUCAGUGCCAUGAAAGCUUACUGAAAAGCAGAACUGACACUUAAAGUGUUGUAGGCAAGGAGCAUCGUGCAGCGAUGGCUUUGGCUGUGAAGGCUGUUGGAGCUCUGCUGAGAAUGACCUCACUGUACCGAAGGGUCUUUGAAGCUUGGGGUGUAAGGGCUGCAGCCUAUUCCUCCAGUGCUGUUCUCAGAGCUGCAGGCUUCCUGCAGAACAGUAAGAAAUUCUCCCAGAGUUGAACAUCUAUUAAGCAAGAGACUCGAAAUUGAUAAUCCAUAGAAAACAAUGUUAAUUUCCUCUUCCUUCCCAAUUUAGUCUAGCAAAUGUUGUAACUUCAAGGAAAAUUGAGUAAGAGCCAGUCAGGUCAUUAUAAAUCAAAUCCCGUUGUUUGUGGUUGAAGGGUAUUUUGGGUAAUGCUCAUGCAGCACGAGUCCUUGUCUGUUCCUUGUCAUCUUCAGCAGUGCUGGUGGUUGGAGGGGGAGGAAUCAACAUUUCCCCCAGAUAAAGGCAAAAUCAGUGGGAAAGGAAUUUAAUUUUUGAGAUUCCAUACAGGCAGUACAAACAAUGGCAAAUAAACAAGUAGCUCAGAGCGUUUCUUUAAUCACAGGGCUGCUGUGCAGGUGCCCAAACAGUGAGCUCUGUUUGCUAAAUGGAAAAUGGCAAAUUUAGUAGGGAAAGUGUUUUUUCUCUUCAGCCUUUUGGGGAUUGCGAUGAAGACCAACGAGGAGUUUCUGAACUCAUCCUGCAGCAAAGCCAGCUGCAAAAAGUGAUUCUUUCAAAUCAUUGCUUUGCAUAUAGUAGUGGAAAACCCCCCGCAAACCACAGCGUCUCAGCUGUGGAGGUAAACAUUUUGGCGUGAGCCUGGUGGAAUACUUACGAGUGCUACUUUGAUACGAUCUCUAAUGCUGCUUGUAAUCAGGUAACUGAGGGAGUGAUGUGAAUGGUUAAUGAAUGCAAACCAGGCAUUUGUGGCAUAAGAUCUAUCAAGCAGAUACUGUAAAGCUCUCAUUAGGAAGUGUAUUUCUUUCCUUGGCGGCCCACUAAUUCAUACUAAAGCCUGUUGUUGGAAUAAUGAGCUGCGGGUGGUUUGCAAACAAAGUCUGUGAGUCCUGUCUUGUUACUUUGAUUUAUUCAUUGAUUGAUUUUGGGUGAUGUGAAGCCUUUGGUGUAACCACCAAAAUAAGCUGUAUUUUCCACCCUGAGCUGUGCUGUGAAGUUGCACCAUUAGCGUGUCCUCCUGCAUUUGUACGGUUUUGCUUUACUAACUUAAUCCUGCAUGCUGUGCUUAAUGUCAUCCAUUAAUUUUUAAUAAAUGUUUAGAGAAUCGGUUUUCCCUAUUGGAAAAAUAAAAGGAAAAUAAAUUACUGGAGAAUUCAUUUUAUUUAGCGAAACCUCCUAAGGUGAGAAUCUGGUAGUGUUUUCUGGCCGUGUAGUUUGCAUUUCUAACGUGCAAAUAGAGUGGUGUGUGUGUUAUGAGGAGAAGAUGACACAAUCUGUCAUCCCCGCCGCCAUGCAGGGCCGCACCAGCAGUUGUUUGGUUGGAAGGGAUACCUCUGGUGAAUUAAUCUCUCUUCUGGUGAUAAGGGAGGGAAGAUAGCUCCUUCUCAAUGCAAAGUUAAAUGUCAAUAGGGAUAUUAAUGAACUCCCGUUAGCCUGCUGGGCUUGGCCAGUCUGCAAUGGAAACCUUGGGCCCGUUUCUCUCUCCUUUGGCCUACCUUUCUGCUGGUUGCUGCUACUGGUUUCAGCCAUUCCCUGCCUUGCUCCCAGGCCUGCUUUUGCUGGCCCUGAGCUUCUGACUGCCCUUCCACAGGACGGCCCUGUGAUUGCUGAAAGCAAUUACCGAACUGGGACCCCAUUUGUGACUUGCUGUGUGGGAUCCUACGUGUUUUGUCUGCUUUCUUAAUAUCUCUGCGAUAUUAUUCAAAUUAAGGGAAAGGGAAUAAAAAAACAAACUCAGAGGGCAGCUGCUUAUGGGACAGAGCUGUUUGUUUCCUGCUAACACUUCUCACUCGGAAUACUGGUAGAGUUGGUACGAAUCAUUUGAUUGAAUUAACCACGUAUUUAUUUAUCUUCGAAAAGAAGCGAAUUUCUUUGUCACACCACAUCGUGCUUGUAGGGAACGCGAGGUCUUCUGUAAACAAACACGCCUAAGAAGGUACAAAAUAAGGUCUGAAAUACGGAUAUGCAUAGAUUAGGCAGAAUAAUUUCACGUUCCUUUGAAAAUUAUUUUUGUAGUGGUAUGAGUAGAUUUCCCAGGAAAGAGUGGUCACAGCUGGGAAAACAGUUGCUGCUUUGAAGAUGCUUUUCCCAGGCGAAAGGCUCACGUCCCCAACUGUGUUUGGGAUAAACAAUGCGUGGUGCAUUUCUUGCUUUGGUUUAAAGGAAUUGGGCGUUUUUCAGCACAUAUUAACCAGCAAAAGUUCUGUGCUUGCUCUGGGCAUUUGCAUUAAUCUGUACAUAUUCAAGUUUAGUUCCUUACUUUUCCUCGUACCCAGGAAUUGAGGUGAUGGGAGUUUGGUGAAAUGCAACCGUUCCUGGUUUGCCAUGAAGAGGGGAAAUUCUUUCUCUUCUUGGAGCCCAGCCGACAUUUCCUUUCAGCUCUCUUUACUCAGUGGUGAGAACUUUCCUUGACUGUUCUUGCUAGGCUUCCAAUAUAAAUCCUUGCUUUCAUGACUUUAGCUGCGCAUAUUUUCAGGAAACUGGAGCUCAGCACAGGGAUCCCACUGAUGGCUGAGAGUCACUGAGGGCAGGAGCAGGGGCAGGUGAUACUGGGGGUGUGCCCCCCAGCUCCACUCAAGGGAGGACGCUGCUGUUGUGCCUUUGUCAACUGUGGUUCUGUUUACUCAUUCUCUGUUUCUGGUUCUAGUUCAUCACAGAGGCAUUUUGAGUGAAAACUGCCAGAAAAGGCCUGAAGUACCUAAUAUAAAAAAAUUAGGCCCAAAUCCUCAGAAAUAAGUAGGUGUUCAGCAAAAACAAAGUACAUCCGAUUACAUGUGUGAAUUCCCAAAGCAUUCUACUUGGCAAGAAGUUGCACUGUAAGCUUGAGAGGAUAAAUGCUUACUACGUUCUGAUGUCUGUGGAGGCCAUUCACUGGCAAUUGCCCUUGACAGGGCUGGGGACAUGGAGUGUGUGCACUGUAACAGAGGACUGCAAACUGAAUCCUGUGCAUCUGCUCCUUCCUCUUGAUUGCUCUUGGUACAGUUUUGUAAAUAUUAGUUUACCUAAAAAAAGAAAAAAAGGCACCGAGUUGAAUGUUUAAAUUAAGGUCACUGUUAAAAUCAGCAGCUUUCCCAGUCCUUGACAGAAUGCUGCUGCUUUUGAAAACCAAAUGGGCAUAAUGAGGAUUUUUAUGAAAUACUAAUUAUUUGAUGGAAUCUAUUGUAAAACAAAACCUUUCUGAGCAGAUAGGGGUGGUGAUGGCUGCUUCUGCAGUAUGGAUGAGGAACUGGCAUUAUUUCACCAGGGUUUUCCUCCUCCAAAAUGCCCUUUGCAUUUAGAGGCUAUAUUGAGAGCCAUGUGAAAGAGUAGUAUAUGUUUAUAUAUGUUAAUUGAUAAAUCACAGUAUAGAUAAAAUGUCUAUUUUGUGUUAGAUCAAAGCCAUGUAGAUGAAUAAAUUCUUAUAGAAUGCUUGUGUUAUGUCCAACAAGUAAUUAGAACAGAAAAUUAAUCCUUGGAUUUGUAGAAGCUGCCUGAAGUGUUGCGUGUACAAGCAUGAAGGUAUUUGAUGGGAGAGCAUCUUACCUAAAGAACCAGACCCUGUCUUUGAAUGCAUUUCCCUGUUUCUAAUUGAAUCCCACUAGAGUUCUGUACGACACGAAGCAGAUGAUCAUCAUACAAUGUUUUAUUGAAUUUUCAGCAUUAUCUUAAUAAUUUGCAUCUGUAAGGCAGGCUUUGCAAACAGCAAAUGUACACAAGGGAAGAUGGAGAGCUCUGCCCCUGCAUCCUUUCUAUUUGAAGCACGUCAGAACCAUUCAGAUGAUCACCUAAAAUGGAGCAUAGAGUUUACAUGAAAGCAUGCAGGGAAGAUACGUGUCUUGGUAACUGUUGUUGUAUUCUACCUGUACGUUUUGACAUAGUUACUAAUACAAAUUGCUUAAAUGUAUCUUAUAUUCUGAAGGCUUUAUUUUAAUAAGUCCGUGUUCUUAUUUGAUGGUUUGAAGUUCAACAGUCUUCAUUUAAAAUGUAUUUCCUUCUUUACAAAGAGUGGUCUGGAUUAAGUCAUGUUCUGGUUUAGGUUUAUGAUAGCAGUGGCCAGCUGUCCCAAACCUAUUGGUCAUACAAUAGCAGCUUCUGAGCUGAAAGGCCUUACCCUGUAGCAAGGAGAGUUGAGAGGAGCAGAAAUCUCAUAGGGACCAGGGGCAGGAUUGCCAAGGAUGCUCACACAGCCCCUGUUGUGGGCUGAGCAUGUGCUUAGCUUCUGUGCCAUCGGCUGUCAGUGUCAGCAGCUCCCAGCCAGCAAGUCUGCACUUGUGAUCCAUGGCACCUCUGCAGUGCCACGUGUCAUCGCCUCUUCUGCACCACAAUAAAGAAAUAGCACGUCACUUGUCUUGCUGCUCCAAGAGUGUUCAGCUUUUAAUGAUAUCAGGAGUAAUUCUUCUGAAUUCAUAUCUUUGAAAGCCAAGAAAGCUUCUAAUUUAAGUUCUCGAAGGUAUUGCUGCCUGCAUCUCCUUUCUGUCUUGUUGGCCAGCCCACAGAUUGAUGUUUGAAGCAUGGGACAACACAGAGAGCUCUUUCUUUGAUUGCUCCCCAUCUGCACUUGUAACUGAAUAGUGGUACACAAAAGUUAAGUAGUUGCUGUAGUCAGGUAAGGCUAUUUCUCUUCAGUUCUGAAUGGAAGAGAAUGAAUAGAAGAAAAUCUCAUUUGCCAUUAUGUUUCUGUUUCUAUUGAGAGAAUAUCCAGUAACGGAAACGUUGCUGUGCUUGAGGCAGAAGGUAUCCAUCUCUGCUGCUGUUAGACGACCAGUGAACUCGUCAUGUCAGAAUAGCCUUCAUGCCACUGCUAAGGAUAAUUUAGCAGUAUCCCAAUAUUCUUCCCAUUUCUCUAUUAUGUCUCUGUUAGGGAGUUCUUCUGAAGUCCUUCCAGAAAACAUAUGCUAUGCAAUUUGGAAAGAUUUUAAGCCUUUGGAAUGAUUUUGCUUGCAGGUCAAGCAUAGGGAUUUCUAAACAAAGUCAUUGUGUUUGAAAAGCUUAUCCUGCUGCAUUACAUCCCUACUUAGGGUACGUGCAUUUAAAAACGUAGGGUUGGGGUUUUUUAUAAUGAAUAACUCAGUAGUUUGUGAACUCAGAACGUACAAAUUUCUGUGUAUAUUUGUAGAAGACAGUGUUUGAGUGAUUUGGAAAAACAGGUUGAAAACUUGGCUUGGUUUUAUCACUGGAGAUGAAUGACUCUGAAUCCUUCCUAAACACACUUGACGAGGCUACUUGACGAGGCUGAGACAAGCAUCUCUAACUCAACUGCAGUGGAAUGAACUGUAUGAUGUACAUAACUGAGGGAGCACACGAGAUGCUGAGUGAAAGGCAGUGAGCUGAUCCUGCAGGGCCUGAGGUCCUGAGAAGGCAUUGCUUUCUUGUUGUCAGCUUGGGUGGUUGGCUCGAUCUGCAGCUGUUCCUUCUUGGCUCCUGGCUGUAUCGCACUGCUGUGUGAUGGAAUGGAAGUCCAAAAGGAAGCUAAAAGGCAAGGGCUAAAACAUAUCAUAUGUCAAUGGAGAAUAAAUAGUUUGGAAAAUACCAUUUUUCCAAUGGUAGGGAAGACAUCACGAUUCUAAAUAUGAAUGGAGAGUGCUCAGAUUUUCAUAUCUGGUGUGUCUCCUUAAGAUGUAGCACAUGGCACAGAUCACUGUCUGUCACUGUAUAUCUCUGACAACAGAGCUUAAGAGUAUACGGGCAAGGUGGUCUGCAUGCAUGUCUUAAAAAUGGCUUGUUCCCUAUCAUAUGUUUCUGCAGAUUAAACAUUAAGUGGAAAAAGAAAGAUAAAAUGCAUUUCUGAGGUGGAAAUGUUUAUUGGAGACAUGUUUAAUAAACAAUGUAAUAAUAAUAACAAUAGCUUAACCUAAGCAGUCUGAACGAGAAAUGUCUGUGUCUGGCUGUGUAGCAAUGGGCCGCUGUAAGUGUAAUUGGUAACAUGAGAGUAAACUUGUGUUGCAAAGAGAUAAUUCGGUUAAUUGAAUUUAACAACGAAUUUAGCUCUGUGCUCUUCUUUGUUUGAAAGUCCCAAACAUUUGUGUGCUGCUCUGAAUGAGUGGGGAAAGGCUUUUGGGUUGGAAAGGAAGAGUAGUGUCCCCUCAAUUCAAAUCACACCCUCUUUUUCAAGCAAAAUCAAAUGAAUUCAUUGAUUCAUCUUCAUGAAUAGCUAUUACCAUUCAGAUCUCCCUUCCGUGUGUGCGUUUGUUCCUCCUGUUUAUAUAGAAAUAAGUUCAAAUGGAAUUAAAUCACGCUCGAGGUUGAAUUCUACAUACUUUCACCUUCUGUAAACCACAUUUUGACACAUAAAGUAACCAUCCUAACCACUCAGAGUUAUCUAGGUAACCUCCUCCCUUCUGCAGUCUUAAUCAACAGCUGAUAAAGUACAGCAAUCGAUGACAUUAGGGCAAUGUAAGAAGAGAUGGUGUUGUUUCCAGUUGAUAGAAGCAAUAUUGAAGACAAUCAUGUUUUAAGAUUUCUGCUUUUUGCUUUUUGAAUUUGCUUGAUAGCAGCUGUUCCCUUUUGGAAUGGAUGGGUUGAGCAUUUUGGAUACCAGCCUUUGUUUUUUUUUUGUGGACCAGAAGGGGAAGGGGCAGUCUUUCUCUGCAUCUCGUCUGUCCUGUGCAGGAUCUGGGGUUGUUUGACCCACUGACUCGACUUCCUUGCCCCGUGCAUUCACUUCGUUAAUGCUUUACAUGAAUUAAACAAACUUCAUCUUGAAAAUGACUGUCUGUGCUUUUCAUGCCUGCACAGUCACUGUGUAGUAAAUCUUAAACUGUUGAAAGGAUGCAGUGGAAGGAAACUUAUGUGAUUAAAUUACACAUUAGGGGAAAAAACCACCACCAACAACUUCUGUGAAGAGGGGUAAUUUUUUCACCUGGGAGAACACUUGUCAUUUAUUCACAACAGCAUGCUUAAAUUUAGUCAUCUCAGGUACAGCUCAAACCUGAACCAAAAUAUCAUCAGCAGGAACCUCCUCUGGUAGCUCAGGUGUGAGAUGUGCUUUUGGACAUAUAAGGGAUGUUGGAUGGAGGAAUUCUGAUUGGGAAACUGUAUUGCUGCAACCCCAAAGAAGGUGGUUUAUUCAUGGAAAGAGCUGGGAUUACCCAAAGCUGGUGUGCAGUGCUGGGGCUGUGUGCUUAAUUGAUGGAAAUGCAUUGCUGGAAGUGUGAUCUGUUCCUUUGUUUGUGCUGUUUGAAACAGCUGUCCGUCAGAGGGGUGGUUAAUGUGCACCGGGACAGGGAUGAUUGUGGUUAAUUCCAAUCAUGAAAGUAACGAGGGAAAAUGGACAUACGUAUCGUCUUGGAGUAGCAUGAGAUUUGCUGCUCUGUGUUGUCGAGCAGCUCCUAUGCAGAGAAGGCAUGGCAGUGCUUGCAUCUUUGAGAGAGAAAAUACCAUUAGUGCUCUACCAGAGAGAUGGGAGUAAAUAGGAAUUUCUCCUUGUCUGGUGAUUAACAGUGCCUUGGAAAUGGUCAGCAGUUGGGCAAACUCCUCUCUGCUGUUCCUGUUUCAGUGUUUCAGGAACGUCCAGCUAGUUCCAAUGCAGCAUCAUCCUGGGGCCUCUCUGCUCUUAGGUCAAACCUUUUGUGGCUACAACUUCACUGGGAAACUCUGAGUAUUUCAUGAGAAAUAAGUGGGAUCACUGUCUCCUUUGCUGCUUAAUGCUCUACUCAUUGUUUUAAGCAUCUACGUUUUAAAAAUCCUUUAGUGUGCUAAUUGGCUCACCUGUGAUGUUUAAAGUAGGGCACAUCAUCACAUUGUCUGGAGUUCUGGUGCUGUGCUUGGUGAGCACAGAGGUGGAAUUGGUUUGUGUAUUUCAGAGCUGCAGUGAGUGAUGGUUUAAUGACCUUGUGCACAAAUCUCUAGGAACUUUGUGGCUUCCUCUGAGGAAGUUCAGCAGUAACCUGCAUUAAGCAUCAUCCAGUUUUAAAACCCAAUUAUUUUCUAUAAGAAAUUAGAAUCUGUUUUCUACCGUGUGGUGCUAACGUUUGUUUUCUUAUCACCAUUUAUCUUCAAAUGAACAGAGCAACCCAUGUGCAUCUUAGGGUCCCCAAGACCUAUGGCUUCUGGGGCUGGGGUGGGCAGGGCACCAAGUGCAGAUCUGUGCACCUUUACACAAGUUCUUCUUAAAAAAAAAAAAGGAAAAGGAAAGAGGCUUUUUCAUUUUUAUAAGCAAUUCUUACAGUCUUUUUCAGAAUGUGGCUUCUUUAAAGCCACAGCAUGUUGUUCCAACCAUCUGAAUGGGUCUGCUAAAUGGAGACAGAUCUUAUAUGACUUUUGUUUGAGUCUGAAGGGAGAUGUGGAUGCACAUAUGUAUGUGCUUGCAUUUUUGACAAAAGCCCAAUUAUAUCCAUCCUGAGAAGUGCUGUCCUGGGGAAUCCUCAGGAGAGCAAAGCGUUACGUUUUGCUGCAGUGAACUUCUUUGAGAUGAACCAUAUAGUGACAGGUGAUUUCAGGUUUGAUCAGGUGCUGAUGUAAACAGCAGAUCAGAUUUGUGAAACGAAAACUCAUCACCAUGCUAGAUUAUAUUAAGAUCAGAAAAAGUUAGUUGUGGAAGACAUGCUGGAAUACAAUAACGAUAAUACUAUAUAGUUCUCAAAAGCAAAGUCCUUUAACUUAACACAUUUGGGUAAAAAUCACUGUUUUCUGCAUCUUCACAUCAAUAUGUUGUAUGGUAUUUAAGUGGAAGUACCUUCUAUACACCAGCAAAACAGCAUCUCCGAUAAUCAAGUUAAAUCUAGAGUCUUCCUAGCUUGAUAAAAUUUUCUUCUAUUUUAUCAUUCAUGCAUGUAUUAUAUAAAAUAAAGCUCCUUCGGUGCUCAGCUUUUAAUAAUCCUGCUCUUAAUUAAAUAUAAAUCUGACUAUAACAUAUUCUUCUACAUUGAAGUUGUCAUAAAAACAUUCUGAAUAUAAACCUCCCAUACUCAGUAGAGCCAUACAAUACAUACAGAGGCAGGCAUGCUUUUUGCUGUUAGUAGUAAGCGUUUUGUUCACUAUUUGCACAGCUUCACAGACAGCUGUGCUGCACAACAGCCCUAAAUCAGACCUCCGAUUGCUCAUUGCUGUCGGGGAUGACAGACGUCAAGGCAGCCUGACAGAAGCGAUGCAACGUGGACAUCUUGGUUUUCUGUUCAAUGUACAGUCGCAGUUUGUCUCUGAAGGUUUCCCCAAGGAAACUGUAAAUUAGAGGGUUCAAACAGCUGUUGGAGAAAGCUGCGAGGUUCACAAUGUGUCCCGUUAAAGGGUAGUCGUGUCUGAAGGAUGGGCUGCUUGACGAGGUGGGCUCACUUUUCUUCUGUAGAAGCUGGACGCUAAUGAAGACGUUUUCAGGGAGCCAGCAGAUAAAGAAAACCAGGACCACAACAAAUAUCAUCCGAAGAGCCUUCUGUCGGCGCAGGCGGAGGCUCCUGUGCUUGUGUGCUUUUAUAAGAACUCGGACGAUUAACGAGUAACAGAGACCGAUGAUCACAAAGGGGAUGAUAAACCCCAGGGUUAUUUCUAGCCACUGAAUUUCUCUUACAUCUGCAAAACAAAAAUAGACCUCUCCGGUGUGUUGUAAGUGCACGGCCGUGAAUGGCACUAGUGCUGCAGAAAUAGAUGCCAUCCAUAUGAGACCACAGCUCAACCUGGCGUGUUGCAUAGUGCGAAAGAGGUUGGACCUCAUGACUUUUGCCAGUGCUAUGUAUCUGUCAAAGCUCAUCCAAGUCAGAAAGAAAAUGCUGCUAUACAUGUUGAUCUGAAGGAACAGAGACAUGAAGGUACAUAUGAUAGUGAUAUCGUAAUACUUUUCAUCAAGAUUAAAAACCUCAAUGAGAGAAUCAGCGACUAAAAUGAGAUCGGCCACGGCGAGGUUGAUGAAGUAAAGGUCUGGGAUAGUCAUCUUCUCACGAAAGCUUAUGUUUACAACCAGAAUCAGAAUGUUUCCUACAAAGCCAAUGGGAAAAAGAAAUAUUGUGUAAAGGCACGAUAAGAAAAGCCCAAUAACGUAUUGUUGGUGCUCUGAUUUAUCUGCUAAUCUAGAAGACAGGCUCUCGUUACACAGAUGCGAUCCACUGAGGUUGAAAGUUGUGCUGUUACAUAGAACAGGUGGUACUGAGGCAGAGUAGGUUUCCAUGGUUAAAGUAUCUGCACAAAAGGUAACGGCAGUCACAGUUUGGUAGUAAUGCCAAAAAGAUGAGAUUUUGGGGUGUUUUCAAAGCAGUGAAUUGAAAGCAUUUUGAUUGGAAUGGAAGAAAGCCCACGCUUAUAAAUAGGAAAUUCAAAUUCUUUAGAAGCCGAAUUAAUUAGACUUGAAAUUGACUGAAAUAUAACAGUGUGAAAAGUACAUCUUUCUUUCUUUUUUUCUUACAUGACACUACAUGCAUUGCAGAUGGGAGCACUUUCAGUUCCUAUAUGCUGUAAGACCACAGCGGGAUCUUUUUACCAUAAUGGUACUUGGAUCGUUUCAAAGGAGGGUUUUCAUCAGCAGUUCUCCUUUGUGCAGGUCGGAAGAUGGCAGAGUUCUAGCUCCAUUUGUGUUCUGUUAAUACUCAGCGCACAUCCUUGGACCUGCAAUUUGCAAAUGGGAAACUGUUAAUCUAAUAGCCCAGCGUUCUGCCAUGCACAAUGUGCUUCCUCCACCUUCAGGCGUGCAGCUGAGGCUGUAGGAAACGUCAUGUUGGAAUGGAUGUACAGCGGUUCUGUUAAAAGGAUUAACAUUAGUUUGAGAUGAUAUUGUGUUGUGAGGAUAGAUCUGUUAAAACAUAGCUUACCGUUAGGGAUUCAGUAUUGGGAUACGUGGAAAUACAGAAAUCAAAUGGAAGAAUUUGGCCUAAUGAAGAAAGUCUAUAAAUAUAAAGUUUAUCUUGUAUAUGUAUAUGCUGUGUGUGUGUGUCUAUUCAGUUCAUCAGCAGCUCGUAAGCUUAUUAAGUAGGAGAGUCUGUGGCUGAGAAGGCAGCAGAGACAAACAGCAGUUGGUUCCUAUUGCUUUCAGAGCGAAGGAAAUGCAGACUUUAGAAACGAAGUAAUAUAAGCAGCACAUGGGUUUACACCAACAUCACUUUGUUUUUCUUUGCAAUUAAUUAUGCUACACUGAUUUCUGGAAGGGAAUGGAAACAUUGGUAAUCCUAUUUGUUUCCUUACAAACACUGAAUGCUGUGGACUUGGAGCAUUGCUGGAAGUUUAUUUAAAUAAAAUCCCAAACAAAUUGACAACAUGGAAAUGGUAACCCAGGGUAGCUUUUGUUAAAUGUUUUGGAUCGCUUUAGUGUUCAUCCUACCAGCAGAACUGGUAAAAAUUAGUGCUCAGUUCCACGUUUUAAUGAUUUCAAGUAGCACUGAUGCACAGAAGGAGCAAACCACAAACAGAGAAGGAGCCUUACAGUAUUUGUAGUCAGAAAUGCACGUCUCAGUUUGCUAAAAUGUAUUCAUUUGGUUAGAAGUAGCCAGCAGAUACUUGAAUCAAAAGAGGUUUUACUUCCAAGUGAGAGCCCUAAGUACGCUAUCACUGUUGCUGUGCUUUGAAGCGUUUUCAUAAGGUAAAUCUCCAUGCUAAAAUAUCCAUGUGAAAUUACAUGUAUUUGAAGAAGGUUUGGUGUUUGUUUCAAGCAGAUACAGUGAGGCACGGACCGCUGUCUUUCAUGUAACACCCUUUUAUCUUUGAGUAAGGCAGUAAAAUGCUGUGAAUAAAAGGAGGGUUAAGUUUUGAGUCAAAGCAAUUGAUUCUACAUGGCAGCCCUGUGCUCAGGCUUUAGUAAAGUCUGAGAGCCCACCGAAACCCAAGCUACUGCAAACACUACAGGUAACCAUGGACUGUGAAACACUUCGUUUUACCUUAAUUCCAUUUUUCCCGAGCUGGUUUUCCUGCAGACAGCAGAAGGCUGCUUCUCGCUCACAUACGCACUUAAUGGAUGUGUCAACUUCCACUGCCGUGCCAGGAUAAGCUUGCCUUUAGGUGUGCAGAGCUGCAGGGAAUGUCACCUGUUGACAAUUCAGCAGUAAGAAAAUCAUUUCAAAGCCUGUCCUGUUUUAAAAUGCCUUAAAUAAAGGAUAGUUUACAACAGCAAAAUGUAGAUCUUGCUGCAUGUCCUUGGCAAUAAAACAAGCUUUAUAGAUUCCCAGGGUUGUUCUAAUUUGUGUUCAGUCGAAGUGCUGCUGAACAGCCUCAUAGGGCUGGAGUUAACCCUGUUUCUGCUGGUUUCCUUUCUGCUGGAUCUACUCACGCAGCUGCUGUCUCCUAUUUGCCACUUUCCUUUUUCAUACCGUUCCUUUUUGCUCUCCUUUUGCCUUCAGCAUGUUUGCAGGCAGGGCAGUGUAUUCAAACCUACAGCUCAGCUGAUCAAUUCUUAAGAGAUUUAUUUGCAAGUCACAACUGAGCCAAUUUUACAGACAUAUAAAGCAACAAUUUCCGUUAUACAAGAUAUUCUUAAAUCCCCUGGCCAGUUUAGGGGAAAGUAUUUGAUGGAGUGAAAUCUAGCAGCUAAGAAAGGUCAUUUGCUAAACUUGUGUUACAAAUCUUACCUGCAAGUCAGUCCUGUGUUGUCUGUCUGUAUUUACAUUUUCAGGUGCAUGUUGUCAUCUUGACACGUGGUAGAAUCAUUCUGUUCAAAGGUCCUCAGAUGCAAUAGGCUCCUUUUGCAGUGAUCGUGGAGCAGCAGUGAGCGUGGAGUCCUGCAUUGAAAGCAGCAGUAGUGCAGGUGGAGUUUUGCAUUUCAUCUGUAGGGGAGAAGAGGAGCUCUGACAUCUCAGAAACACCACCUACUGGUGGCUACAGCUCUUAAGACUGAAAGAAAAUGUAUUUUUCUCCUGAAAGAGCAAUUUUGUCUUUGCUAAUUAACUUUUUAUGAUGAUAUUGAUCUGCUAACUUAACGUUAAGUGUCAUUAAUGGGCAUGCCGUACUUUGCUGUGAUGUUCCACUGCUAUGAAAAGAAAUGAAUUGGAUUUCAGCAUUAGGAUUCCAAGAAAUCAAUGUUAUCAGUUCAGAAGCGAGGAGUGAAGUUAGCGUGUCGUUGCUCCUGCGCAGUGACUGAAUGGUUUGGGAGUGCUUUACUGUUCAGCUGCAGAGAAGGUGCACGCAGGUGGCAUUCUGGAGUCUUCCUGAUGGGGUAAUGGGGACAGAGGGCCUCAGAGUGCUUUGCUUUGAGAAGUGCACAGCUAUGGUUGGGUUAUAGGACUGCAGUAAUUGUCGUGUUAGAAAGUCUUGUGAUGCUGGCUUUGAAGGGCUGUUUUUUUUUCUCUGUUCUAAGAGCAGGAUUAUAAAGAGUCUUUCUUGUUGUUUGUCCAUCGUGUGGUUUCGCUCUGCUUAGUUCUGUCCUUCAGAACUCGCACUGAUCUCGUAAGGGCCAGCAGGAUCUGUGUUUCCCUUUAUGCCUGGAGGUGGCUUCUGGGCGUUCAUGCCUGUUAUGUUGGGGUCCUGCUCCAGCAAUCAGCUGCUCUGUCUGCCCCUGGUUUUCUAUCUGUGAGCAUCAGCUGAUUUGCUAUCAGAACGUAUAAUGCUGUUAUCAGUGCUGAUUUUCCUGUUUGAAUUUAUGACAAGAAAUAUGUCCUCCUGCCACACUUCAAGUGUAGGUAGGAAAUUUCCUUCCGAAAAAGCCCUGAAGUGGCUGUUUUUUCUGCUAGGAGAGGUAUGAAGCCUAAGAAGAGGCCACAUCUAAUAUGAUUACAUUGUAAUUAGUGACUUCUGUGUUUCAGUAAAUAUUUUAUGAGAUGGUCAUGUGAAUUCUCUGAAUUUUGUUUCCUAAAACAAAUGACAGCAUCUCCAGGCUCUUGUUUAUGCAAUCAGAUUAUUGUUACUGAUUAAUCUAUCUUAAUCUCACCGUUCAGCACUUCCCUAUUGAAAAGGGUCACAAAGUGCUUGAAGCAAAUGGUAGCAGCUGCCGAACGCCGCAUUCCCUUUUCCUCCAUCAUUUGCUGAUACCCCAUAGGGCUUUAUAACGAGUGCCUCCAUGAUCCGUAUUGAGCUGAAUUGUGACAGUAUUACAGCCCUGCCUGUCGUGCCUUAUCACAACUGCUGCUGAGAACAAGCGUGGAUGCAACUGGUGUGCUGGCCUUCCUGCCUUGUCCUGCUGCAGUAAUCCAGCCUUUGGUGUUUUUCCUAGCAGCUAUUUUUAAAUCUGUAGUAGUCAACUUCUUAAAUGCUGUAUGUACCUCAAUAAACACAAAUAAACCAUAAACUAGCACUGUAGUGCUUUGAAGGAGCACUAGUGUAAUGGUGAUGUGCUGAGGUGUACCAGGAGGCUUGGAGUGGAGUUUAAUAUAGGGUACUGUAGGUAAUUUAGCAAGCAUCAGCAUAGGACUACUGUGUUGCAAAAAGGAUGUGAUGGUGGAGGAAGAACAAAGUGGGAGGUGAGUAGAGGAGGAACAGAUGCUGCUGUAAAGUUCAGGCUCUGCAAGUAGGUGGAACUCCCCCUCCAGAACUGUGUCAUCGUUCUGUUAGCAUGAGCAGACCUGCGUCCUUAUCCAUCUGCUGAGUGACAUCUCCUGCCUGGAGCUGUUACCCUCCUCUGGAGUACCUCUGUGUUUUAUCCUGACCAGCCACAGGAUCACUGUUUUUCUUGCAAAGAGUCAAGUAUAGUUUGGGUUGGAACAAAUGAUCGUGUUCUGUGCCUACAGAAAACCUUGCCUAGAGUGUUUGUUUGUUGAGCCUUUUUAGUUGCCAAUAAUUCUGAGAAUGCAUUUUUCUUACUAAAAAUAUAUUUUUUCAAAAUUCAGCCUUUGCAGGGACAGCACCUGUACCCGUUCAAACUAUUCUGGUAGAAUCUUUUUGUUUUUCUGAUGCUGUAUAUUGCAAAGCACAUAGAAGGGAGGAGAAACACAUCCACAUUUUAUGAAAUUGGACCACAAAACAGUGUAAGAGUGAAGGAUGAUUCAUCAUAGCACUUCAGUGUCUAUCCAAAUGUGAUAACAAUAAGUCACAAAGCAGCAGUCCUUUCUGACUCCAGCAGUUGAGUGUGGCAGUCCUUCCUGGGCACUUUGCCUCUCCAAUUGUCCAAAAGAAAGGAUUUCAUAGUUGUCACUAACUGAUCCGAAAUGAGAGAAUAAGGAUUACAGCGCUAUG